UGGUAGUUUUGGCAGAAGCACUGCAUGUAGGGGAGUCGCAUUCAUAUCCAGAGUGUCUAGUCCAUUAAGAACAAAUGCUGCCCCUUCCAUGAUGGAAAUGGUCUAAUGUGAUCAACUUGGCACCAGUGCUGGGUCUCCAAUGCUGAGGAUAAUGGCCUUGCACAGAAUAGCAACCCAAUGAAUUCGUGUUGAAUUAAUAAAUGGAAAGAGGCCUAUCCAACAGCACUG
Leopardus geoffroyi (Geoffroy's cat) is the source of this 228-nucleotide long non-coding RNA. RefSeq lists it as uncharacterized. NCBI's taxonomy places the organism in Eukaryota, Metazoa, Chordata, Mammalia, Carnivora, Felidae. The record is from RefSeq and is a predicted model, not a curated record. The transcript has 2 exons.